CAGCCGCCGCGGUAAUACGAAGGGUGCGAGCGUUACUCGGAAUUACUGGGCGUAAGGCGUGCGUAGGUGGUGGUUUAAGUCCGUUGUGAAAGCCCUGGGCUCAACCUGGGAAUUGCAGUGGAUACUGGGUCACUAGAGUGUGGUAGAGGAUAGUGGAAUUUCCGGUGUAGCAGUGAAAUGUGUAGAGAUCGGAAGGAACAUCUGUGGCGAAGGCGACUAUCUGGGCCAACACUGACACUGAGGCACGAAAGCGUGGGGAGCAAACAGGAUUAGAUACCCCGGUAGUCCCUGUCUCUUAUAC
This 301-nucleotide ribosomal RNA is filed under the name uncultured bacterium. RNAcentral describes it as "partial 16S ribosomal RNA". It matches the Rfam family "Bacterial small subunit ribosomal RNA", at positions 509 to 807 of the family's 1533-position model. The record is from RNAcentral.